Molecule: long non-coding RNA, 613 nt
Organism: Physeter macrocephalus (sperm whale)
Lineage: Eukaryota; Metazoa; Chordata; Mammalia; Artiodactyla; Physeteridae
Exons: 3
Source: RefSeq, a predicted model, not a curated record
GAAGAGCAGGCACGGGAAGAAUCAGUCUUCGAUUGUUAAAUGAGAUUCCUUUCAUUCAGUAACUGAUAGAUCUGGAAGACCAUGUUGCCACCACAACGCCUGAUGACAUCCGGAGCCCACUCUUUACUCAUUCAGGGGAAAGUCCUGGAUUAGAGACGAAAGUUUGGAGUCCUCAGCGAUGAAAAACAUUUAAAGCCAGAAGAGUGAAUGGCAUUACUAAAGAAGUGAGAAGGGAUAUAGAAAGAGAAGCGCUUUAAAAUCUGAUCCUGGAGCCCUCCAACAUGAAGAGCGAGGAAGAUGAGGAGGAACCAGGAAGGAAUGUGAGAAACUCCUCAGCAGAUGUCACCUUACAGCUCACUGGUCCGAACUGAGCUAAUACUGCCCCAGAUCAAUCACUGACAGAGGGGAUGGGAUUUGAUGCUUGACGAGGAACAACCACAGUUCACCUCCUGAGACCUGGCGCGUGGCCUCCUGAACAAAACCGGGCAUGGCUGGCAAAGAGGAAAUAGAGACAAGUAACAACACUGCUAUGAUCGUAAAGGCAGACCUGUGACAGUCAGCUGGCGUAUCUUUUUGGCAGUGAGCUCUCUUACCCUUUGUGAAAUCUUUUGGA